UGUUCUCUCUCUCUGUCUCAAAAUAAAUAAAUAAACAUUAAAAAAAUUUAAAAAAUGAUCCAUUCAAGACUAGGCUCAUAUACCUGUACUUUGCUUUUUUUGAGGAAAUGGACAUUGCAAGUUGUAACUGAACAUGCUUGCUGUCUUGCCUUGUUAGCCAAGAAACUUGUUUCAAAAUUUCUGGCCUGUUCUCUAGCAACUACCUAAGACUAUGUGGUUACUUAUUUGACACUCAUCUCUAACCUUGGGUUUCCUUUCAUAGUUUUUUUCAGCGUAACUCCCUUCAGUAUUUACCUGUUAUAGUCUCUGAAUUUUUUCCAAGCUACCUUAUGUCAUUUGUGAAGUGAAGACACCGUGAGAAAACGAGCUGCAAUGUCCCAUCUGGGAGCUACUGUCAGAACCACAUGACCAUGUGCAGGUGGAACUCAGUGACAAAGUAGGGAGAGACGUUGGGGCUGAAAAGUCUGAAAAAGAAGGGGAAUCAACACCUGUUGUGAAUGGAAAGUGAACAGAGAAUACAGAUUUUUCAAGUAAACUUACUGACUCUAAGAGUUUUUAGACCUAAGCAGUCUGGCCAGAAAACUGCUUAAAACAUGGCUUUUCCUAGGCCUGCAAAUAUAACAGAAAAGGGUUUCUUUCUGGAUUCCCUAACUCCUGCUAUUGUGA
Leopardus geoffroyi (Geoffroy's cat) is the source of this 666-nucleotide long non-coding RNA. RefSeq lists it as uncharacterized. Lineage: Eukaryota; Metazoa; Chordata; Mammalia; Carnivora; Felidae. The transcript is spliced from 2 exons. The record is from RefSeq and is a predicted model, not a curated record.